This 269-nucleotide long non-coding RNA is filed under the name Eucalyptus grandis. RNAcentral's name for it is "long non-coding RNA (EGRA_LNC000490)". Lineage: Eukaryota; Viridiplantae; Streptophyta; Magnoliopsida; Myrtales; Myrtaceae. The record is from RNAcentral.
UAAUCGACUGGUUCGAUUUGUUUUGAAUAAAUGGGUGUCUAUUGUGAAUUGUACUGACUUGCAGGUGAGAUCUGAGGCCAAGGUAAGUCCUAUGCCCUGUGCGUGUUUAGGCAGCCUGUAGUAUAAUAGUUUACUAAUCGGGCUUGGUGGGGUAGAACUCGCUGAGACGUAGUCUCAUCCCAGUUUGGGGAAAACAUUUCAGGACCCCGAUGAGGAGCUGAUGAGGAGGAGUCUGAGAAUGAGAACUCGGAGGUGAAACUUGAGGAGAA